AUAAAAGUUUGAGAUUUUAAAAAUUUAUUUUAAAUUUGUUUUACAUGUAAAUUUUAGUGUUAGUUUUUAAUUAUUUUAAUAAUUAUUAUAUUGGGUAAACAGUAAAUAAAUUUAAAAAUUUAAGAGAUUAAGAUUUAGCAAUAUUGGAAUUAUUAACAAAUUUUGUGCCAGCAGUUGCGGUUAUACAAAAAUUAAAAUAAAUUUUUUUAGUGUAUAAUUAAUAAAAUUAAAUAUUAAAUUAAAUAUUAAAUUAUUAGGUGAAAUUUUAAUUUAAUUAAAAUUUAUUUUUUUUUUAUGUUUUAAUAAAUUUGAUUUAAAAACUAGGAUUAGAUACCCUAUUAUUAAAAAUUUAAAUUUUAAUACUAAAAUAGUAAAUAAAUAUUUAUUGAAACUUAAUUAAUUUGGCGGUAUUUUAGUUCAUUUAGAGGAAUCUGUUUAUUAAUUGAUAAUCCACGAAUAAAUUUACUUAAUUUAGAAUUUUAUAUAUCGUUGUUAAAAAAAUAUUUUUAAAUAAAAAUAAUAUUUUAAAAUUAAAAUAAAAAUUAAUUCAGAUCAAGAUGUAGAUUAUAAUUAAGAAUAUAAUGGAUUACAAAAAAUUUAUUUAAAUGAAUUUUGUUUUUUAAAAAAUAAUUGAAAGUGGAUUUAAAUGUAAUUUUAAUUAAUUUAUUAAAAUGAUUGAAAAUUAAAAUAUGUACAUAUUGCCCGUCGCUUUCAUUUUAAAGUUGAAAUAAGUCGUAACAAAGUAGAGGUACUGGAAAGUGUUUCUAGAAAGA
This 773-nucleotide non-coding RNA is filed under the name Barca bicolor. Lineage: Eukaryota; Metazoa; Arthropoda; Insecta; Lepidoptera; Hesperiidae. The record is from RNAcentral.